RNAcentral lists this ribosomal RNA (549 nucleotides) under Colletotrichum gloeosporioides. RNAcentral's name for it is "eukaryotic LSU rRNA". The stretch from base 187 to 340 matches the Rfam family "5.8S ribosomal RNA". The record is from RNAcentral. Lineage: Eukaryota; Fungi; Ascomycota; Sordariomycetes; Glomerellales; Glomerellaceae.
CGGAGGGAUCAUUACUGAGUUUACGCUCUAUAACCCUUUGUGAACAUACCUAUAACUGUUGCUUCGGCGGGUAGGGUCUCCGCGACCCUCCCGGCCUCCCGCCUCCGGGCGGGUCGGCGCCCGCCGGAGGAUAACCAAACUCUGAUUUAACGACGUUUCUUCUGAGUGGUACAAGCAAAUAAUCAAAACUUUUAACAACGGAUCUCUUGGUUCUGGCAUCGAUGAAGAACGCAGCGAAAUGCGAUAAGUAAUGUGAAUUGCAGAAUUCAGUGAAUCAUCGAAUCUUUGAACGCACAUUGCGCCCGCCAGCAUUCUGGCGGGCAUGCCUGUUCGAGCGUCAUUUCAACCCUCAAGCUCUGCUUGGUGUUGGGGCCCUACAGCUGAUGUAGGCCCUCAAAGGUAGUGGCGGACCCUCCCGGAGCCUCCUUUGCGUAGUAACUUUACGUCUCGCACUGGGAUCCGGAGGGACUCUUGCCGUAAAACCCCCCAAUUUUCCAAAGGUUGACCUCGGAUCAGGUAGGAAUACCCGCUGAACUUAAGCAUAUCAAU